This 2432-nucleotide long non-coding RNA is filed under the name Homo sapiens (human). Its description in RNAcentral is "HSALNT0289442". The record is from RNAcentral. Lineage: Eukaryota; Metazoa; Chordata; Mammalia; Primates; Hominidae.
ACUCAGAUUCUCCCCAGACGCCAAGGUUGCGGGUCAUGGAGUCCCGAACCCUCCUCCUGCUGUUCUCGGGAGCCGUGGCCCUGAUCCAGACCUGGGCAGAGAAGGUGUUUUGGAUGCAUUCUAGAACACAGGUAAUCUAAGGAGAGUUGAUCAAGGCCGUGGAAGAGUCCUCCAGCCACUAUUGGCCAUCAAAGGAGUCCUCUGUGUCCCAGGAAUGGUCCUGCUUUGGUGUCCCUGGUGUGACCCAUCACCCGCUGGGAACAGCCUGAGAGAAGUAGGGCCUCUGCACCAAUGCUGCUGAGGAUGUCAGAGCACAGGAACGAGGCCUUGGGAAAUUACCUGGAAAUGCGACUGAAAUCUUCCUUCCUGAGGGGUCUGGGCUCUUGGAAAUCAAACCCUCUCAGGUUGGGUGGCUGGACGAUUCUCCUCACACUUACAAUGGGACAAGGGGAACCAGGAGGCCCCCAAGGGGAUCCCUGGGUUCCACACGAACUCCUCCUACCCUCAUUGUGUGACAGCAGCCAUGCCUCCUCCUGGGGAUCAGGAUCUAUUACCUGUGCCUGGAGAGGAGGGGACUCCUCUUCUCACCCGCUGGUCUCUGGACACAUACUGUCCAAUUCCCCUGUGGCAGCUGUAAUGUGUAGUUCAAUGGGCACUCAUUUGUCCCCUUUUAAGGGUACCCUCCUUUAGAAUCCAGGACCUUCUACCCUGCAGAGUGUGGUUUUGGGAGAGAAGUGCAAAAUCCCACGACAGGUGAGUUGAAGGAAUGGGAUAUGGAGCCACAUCCACUUCCACCCCUUGGUAUCUGGACCCACGUGUUCUUCCUACUGAGAUUACAGAACUGUAGAGAUGUCUUUGAUUUUUAAAAUGCACCAUGUCCUGAAAGAUGGCACCCUCCCACCCGCAGAGUGCUUCCUGCAAGCUGGCGUUGAGCUGUGCCUAUAGAAGCUCUUUUCAACAUUCUUUAUGGCCAGCAGCCCUUGGUUGGUGCAGAUGGUGAUAGGACCAGUGGGUCCCACAGCAUGGCCACACUGCACCUCCUUCGCUGUCAAGUGGGUCCCCCACGAAGAUACUGCACGGAGAGCAGUGCCAAGCCUGUGGAUCAGGAAUAUCAACAGCCCCCAGAGAGUGGUGCUGGCUGAGGGUCUGAGAGCAGGACAGGAAAACCCACCUAUGGAAUAGGUGCCUAUCCCUGUGAAGAUGAACCUCUGGCCCUUCCAGGAUGGAAGGAGUGCAAUGUAGUCAACUCCUCACUUAGGGUCUGGUUGGUCACCUAAAGAAAUAGAGCCCUACCAGGGAAGAUCAUUGGGUUCAAAUGCUGAUGAGUAGGACAUUUAGAGGUGGCAGUGUCUGGAUCUACCUUGGUAGGAGGGAGUCAGUACUGUUGGACCCAUAGGUAGCCUCAUCCCUGCCACUGUGUUUGCUCCAUUUAUGUACCCAUCCUACCCGGCCUGGGCUGACCCAUGGGGAAGGCUGGCUAAUUUCAGUGCUUCUGCUUGGUUGUUCAGGGCCAUUUCAGGUUUGGGUGUUUUCUGGGGAUGUUAACAUGGGAUUCAGGCUCAACUCACAAGAAACUUUUCCAUCUCAUGAUGGAUGCUGUUGGGCAUGUCCAAUGUAUGACUUCAUGAGUUACACAGAUGCUAAUUCGUAGGGGCACUUGGAAUCACAUGGUUGUUUUGUGUCCCAUGGUCAAGCAUUCUAUCUUAUCAGGGCCUACAGUAACAUGCCAAAAGUUGCUUCCAACAUAUUUCUCUGCUUUGGAUGGGGCAUAUUUCUGUGCUGUGGAUGACAUGGCCUUACUCCAGAAUCCCAGGCCCUCCACUGUGACUCUCCUACUGGUGCUUGGUUCAGCUCCACCCCAAAUCUUACCCCACCACUGGCACUUUCAGCACCAGGGGGUCUGAAGGAUGGUGACUGCGCCAUGGCCUGGAUCUGCUGCAGUGUCCUUUCCUGUGGAGGCUCCACUCAAAGCUGGCAUCCUCCUAUGUCACCUAGAGUGUGGGUCAAAGCAAUACACCUACAUGUAGAAUGUGAUGUCAGAACUCAAACAGGCUCACCAGGCAGUGUGCUUCCUUCCUUGCAUGAGGAUGCAAGAUGCAACAGUUUGUCUUUCACAUUGGAAGGGACACCCCUGGAUGCCCCUAACCACUAGACCUGUAAAACUUCACUGCAGUGGCCACUUCUGAAUCUCUGUAAGGUUUAUUUAUCUUCACCCUCUGGAGAGAAGAUGUUUUACCAAAGCCUCUAGUGUACCUUCCUCCUCUUACUCAUCCAUCCCAGUCAACAUGAUGUUGUCAAUGAAAUAAAGGAAUUUAAUAUUCUAUAGUAUAUCCAGGUUCUCCAGAUCUCUUAAGACUGUACUAUAGAGGCCUGGGGAAUUAUAAUAGCCCUGAGGCAAACUAUGAAUUAAAGUGUUGUGGAUCCCACAUGAA